RNAcentral lists this ribosomal RNA (250 nucleotides) under uncultured bacterium. RNAcentral's name for it is "partial 16S ribosomal RNA". It matches the Rfam family "Bacterial small subunit ribosomal RNA", at positions 524 to 773 of the family's 1533-position model. The record is from RNAcentral.
UACGGAGGGUGCAAGCGUUAUCCGGAUUCAUUGGGUUUAAAGGGAGCGUAGGUGGCCUUAUAAGUCAGUGGUGAAAUCUUCGAGCUUAACUCGGAAAUUGCCAUUGAUACUGUAGGGCUUGAGUAUAGUUGCCGUUGGCGGAAUAUGACAUGUAGUGGUGAAAUACAUAGAGAUGUCAUAGAACACCGAUUGCGAAGGCAGCUGACGAAACUAUAACUGACACUGAGGCUCGAAAGUGCGGGGAUCAAAC